Molecule: non-coding RNA, 136 nt
Organism: Triticum urartu
Lineage: Eukaryota; Viridiplantae; Streptophyta; Magnoliopsida; Poales; Poaceae
Source: Rfam
UCUGUACUCCAUCCGUUCCAAAAUACUUGACUUCCAUUUGUCCAAAAAUGGAUGUACCUAUAUACUAAAACAUGUCUAGAUACAUAUAUAUUUUGACAAAUAGAAGGCAUGUAUUGUGCAACGGAGGGAGUAGAAU